RNAcentral lists this transfer RNA (87 nucleotides) under Acidimicrobiia bacterium. Its description in RNAcentral is "tRNA-Leu". It matches the Rfam family "tRNA". From Rfam's summary of the family: Transfer RNA (tRNA) molecules are approximately 80 nucleotides in length. RNAcentral also lists the same sequence under 1 other name. Lineage: Bacteria; Bacillati; Actinomycetota; Acidimicrobiia. The record is from RNAcentral.
GCCCGGGUGGCGGAAUUGGCAGACGCGGGGGGCUUAAACCCCCCUUCUCGCAAGAGAGUGCGGGUUCGAACCCCGCCCCGGGCACCG